This 497-nucleotide ribosomal RNA is filed under the name uncultured bacterium. RNAcentral describes it as "partial 16S ribosomal RNA". It matches the Rfam family "Bacterial small subunit ribosomal RNA", at positions 28 to 507 of the family's 1533-position model. The record is from RNAcentral.
GAUGAACGCUGGCGGCGUGCCUAAUACAUGCAAGUCGAGCGAACAGACGAGGAGCUUGCUCCUCUGACGUUAGCGGCGGACGGGUGAGUAACACGUGGAUAACCUACCUAUAAGACUGGGAUAACUUCGGGAAACCGGAGCUAAUACCGGAUAAUAUAUUGAACCGCAUGGUUCAAUAGUGAAAGACGGUUUUGCUGUCACUUAUAGAUGGAUCCGCGCCGCAUUAGCUAGUUGGUAAGGUAACGGCUUACCAAGGCAACGAUGCGUAGCAGACCUGAGAGGGUGAUCGGCCACACGGGAACUGAGCCACGGUCCAGACUCCUACGGGAGGCAGCAGUAGGGAAUCUUCCGCAAUGGGCGAAAGCUUGACGGAGCAACGCCGCGUGAGUGAUGAAGGUCUUCGGAUCGUAAAACUCUGUUAUUAGGGAAGAACAAAUGUGUAAGUAACUAUGCACGUCUUGACGGUACCUAAUCAGAAAGCCACGGCUAACUACGUG